RNAcentral lists this ribosomal RNA (2878 nucleotides) under Klebsiella pneumoniae subsp. pneumoniae. Its description in RNAcentral is "bacterial LSU rRNA". It matches the Rfam family "Bacterial large subunit ribosomal RNA". Lineage: Bacteria; Pseudomonadati; Pseudomonadota; Gammaproteobacteria; Enterobacterales; Enterobacteriaceae. The record is from RNAcentral.
ACUAAGCGUACACGGUGGAUGCCCUGGCAGUCAGAGGCGAUGAAGGACGUGCUAAUCUGCGAAAAGCGUCGGUAAGGUGAUAUGAACCGUUANCCGGCGAUGUCCGAAUGGGGAAACCCAGUGCAAUUCGUUGCACUAUCGUUAACUGAAUACAUAGGUUAACGAGGCGAACCGGGGGAACUGAAACAUCUAAGUACCCCGAGGAAAAGAAAUCAACCGAGAUUCCCCCAGUAGCGGCGAGCGAACGGGGAGCAGCCCAGAGUCUGAAUCAGCUUGUGUGUUAGUGGAACGGUCUGGAAAGUCCGACGGUACAGGGUGAUAGUCCCGUACACCAAAAUGCACAGGCUGUGAACUCGAAGAGUAGGGCGGGACACGUGGUAUCCUGUCUGAAUAUGGGGGGACCAUCCUCCAAGGCUAAAUACUCCUGACUGACCGAUAGUGAACCAGUACCGUGAGGGAAAGGCGAAAAGAACCCCGGCGAGGGGAGUGAAAAAGAACCUGAAACCGUGUACGUACAAGCAGUGGGAGCACCUUCGGGUGUGACUGCGUACCUUUUGUAUAAUGGGUCAGCGACUUAUAUUCUGUAGCAAGGUUAACCGUAUAGGGGAGCCGCAGGGAAACCGAGUCUUAACUGGGCGUUAAGUUGCAGGGUAUAGACCCGAAACCCGGUGAUCUAGCCAUGGGCAGGUUGAAGGUUGGGUAACACUAACUGGAGGACCGAACCGACUAAUGUUGAAAAAUUAGCGGAUGACUUGUGGCUGGGGGUGAAAGGCCAAUCAAACCGGGAGAUAGCUGGUUCUCCCCGAAAGCUAUUUAGGUAGCGCCUCGUGAAUUCAUCUUCGGGGGUAGAGCACUGUUUCGGCUAGGGGGUCAUCCCGACUUACCAACCCGAUGCAAACUACGAAUACCGAAGAAUGUUAUCACGGGAGACACACGGCGGGUGCUAACGUCCGUCGUGAAGAGGGAAACAACCCAGACCGCCAGCUAAGGUCCCAAAGUCAUGGUUAAGUGGGAAACGAUGUGGGAAGGCACAGACAGCCAGGAUGUUGGCUUAGAAGCAGCCAUCAUUUAAAGAAAGCGUAAUAGCUCACUGGUCGAGUCGGCCUGCGCGGAAGAUGUAACGGGGCUAAACCAUGCACCGAAGCUGCGGCAGCGACACUAUGUGUUGUUGGGUAGGGGAGCGUUCUGUAAGCCUGCGAAGGUGNUGCUGGAGGUAUCAGAAGUGCGAAUGCUGACAUAAGUAACGAUAAAGCGGGUGAAAAGCCCGCUCGCCGGAAGACCAAGGGUUCCUGUCCAACGUUAAUCGGGGCAGGGUGAGUCGACCCCUAAGGCGAGGCCGAAAGGCGUAGUCGAUGGGAAACAGGUUAAUAUUCCUGUACUUGGUGUUACUGCGAAGGGGGGACGGAGAAGGCUAUGUUAGCCGGGCGACGGUUGUCCCGGUUUAAGCAUGUAGGCUGAUUGUCCAGGCAAAUCCGGAUAAUCAAGGCUGAGGUGUGAUGACGAGGCACUACGGUGCUGAAGUAACAAAUGCCCUGCUUCCAGGAAAAGCCUCUAAGCAUCAGGUAACAUUAAAUCGUACCCCAAACCGACACAGGUGGUCAGGUAGAGAAUACCAAGGCGCUUGAGAGAACUCGGGUGAAGGAACUAGGCAAAAUGGUGCCGUAACUUCGGGAGAAGGCACGCUGGUGUGUAGGUGAAGUCCCUGCGGAUGGAGCUGAGACCAGUCGAAGAUACCAGCUGGCUGCAACUGUUUAUUAAAAACACAGCACUGUGCAAACACGAAAGUGGACGUAUACGGUGUGACGCCUGCCCGGUGCCGGAAGGUUAAUUGAUGGGGUUAUCCGUAAGGAGAAGCUCUUGAUCGAAGCCCCGGUAAACGGCGGCCGUAACUAUAACGGUCCUAAGGUAGCGAAAUUCCUUGUCGGGUAAGUUCCGACCUGCACGAAUGGCGUAAUGAUGGCCAGGCUGUCUCCACCCGAGACUCAGUGAAAUUGAACUCGCUGUGAAGAUGCAGUGUACCCGCGGCAAGACGGAAAGACCCCGUGAACCUUUACUAUAGCUUGACACUGAACAUUGAGCCUUGAUGUGUAGGAUAGGUGGGAGGCUUUGAAGCGUGGACGCCAGUCUGCGUGGAGCCAACCUUGAAAUACCACCCUUUAAUGUUUGAUGUUCUAACGUUGGCCCCUUACCGGGGUUGCGGACAGUGUCUGGUGGGUAGUUUGACUGGGGCGGUCUCCUCCCAAAGCGUAACGGAGGAGCACGAAGGUUAGCUAAUCCUGGUCGGACAUCAGGAGGUUAGUGCAAUGGCAUAAGCUAGCUUGACUGCGAGCGUGACGGCGCGAGCAGGUGCGAAAGCAGGUCAUAGUGAUCCGGUGGUUCUGAAUGGAAGGGCCAUCGCUCAACGGAUAAAAGGUACUCCGGGGAUAACAGGCUGAUACCGCCCAAGAGUUCAUAUCGACGGCGGUGUUUGGCACCUCGAUGUCGGCUCAUCACAUCCUGGGGCUGAAGUAGGUCCCAAGGGUAUGGCUGUUCGCCAUUUAAAGUGGUACGCGAGCUGGGUUUAGAACGUCGUGAGACAGUUCGGUCCCUAUCUGCCGUGGGCGCUGGAGAAUUGAGGGGGGCUGCUCCUAGUACGAGAGGACCGGAGUGGACGCAUCACUGGUGUUCGGGUUGUCAUGCCAAUGGCACUGCCCGGUAGCUAAAUGCGGAAGAGAUAAGUGCUGAAAGCAUCUAAGCACGAAACUUGCCCCGAGAUGAGUUCUCCCUGAGACUUUAAGUCUCCUGAAGGAACGUUAAAGACGAUGACGUUGAUAGGCCGGGUGUGUAAGCGCAGCGAUGCGUUGAGCUAACCGGUACUAAUGAACCGUGAGGCUUAACC